RNAcentral lists this ribosomal RNA (333 nucleotides) under uncultured Chloroflexota bacterium. RNAcentral's name for it is "bacterial SSU rRNA". It matches the Rfam family "Bacterial small subunit ribosomal RNA", at positions 28 to 351 of the family's 1533-position model. Lineage: Bacteria; Bacillati; Chloroflexota. The record is from RNAcentral.
GAUGAACGCUGGCGGCGUGCCUAAUACAUGCAAGUCGAACGAGGUGCUUUUGUAGCAAUACGAGGGUGUUCCUAGUGGCGAACGGGUGAGUAACACGUUGGUGACCUGCCCCGAAGUGAGGGAUAACACCGCGAAAGUGGUGCUAAUACCCCAUGUGACCCGAGGGAUUAGAUGCCCUUGGUGGAAAGGCGUAAGCCGCUUCGGGAGGGGCCUGCGGCCCAUCAGCUAGUUGGCAGGGUAAUGGACCUACCAAGGCGACGACGGGUAGGGGUCCUGAGAGGGUGGCCCCCCACACUGGCACUGAAACACGGGCCAGACACCUACGGGUGGCAG